AGUCAUCAACCCUGACGGUUUUGCUACCGACCGGGUUGGAGCUGGGGGACUUUGCCGGCCGCACGGUCGGCUCCCCUCAAAUGCUUCGGUUGGGCCUGCGGGUCGAACGUUUCGGGCGUUGUACCAUCCUCGCUGCGAGACGACGGACCCGCUGAACCGUGCCCCUCCUCGACCUUGCCCGACUGGUUUCGGGCGGUCAAACAAACUUUGAA
Molecule: unclassified non-coding RNA, 212 nt
Filed under: uncultured fungus
Lineage: Eukaryota; Fungi
Description: sequence contains ITS2
Source: RNAcentral